Long non-coding RNA from Capsicum annuum, 1064 nucleotides. RefSeq lists it as uncharacterized. The record is from RefSeq and is a predicted model, not a curated record. NCBI's taxonomy places the organism in Eukaryota, Viridiplantae, Streptophyta, Magnoliopsida, Solanales, Solanaceae. The transcript is spliced from 3 exons.
UUCAAAAGCAUUUUUUUCUACACACAAAAAAAAAAAACGCAUCAAACACCUUUACUCUUUAAUCAUUUGUCUCAGCCACAUUAGCUUGUCUUACAAGACGGUGGUUCACUCCUUUCCUCAAAGAUUGAUCUGGCUCAGCCACUAUUGUCUGUCUUAGAAGAGGGUUCACUCCUUUCCUCGAAGAUUAACUUGGCUAGAGAACAAUUGGAUGUCUUACAAGUGUUUUCACUCCAUUUUGCGAAGAUUGACCUGGUUCGGGACCAAUUGGAUGUCUUACAAAAGAUUCAGAGCUCUUCAAAUUUGUUUCAAUAGGGAAAUCUUCAAAUUCAAAACCAAUGUUGUGUAUUCUUCAGGAAAUCUUCCAUUCACCCUUGAAGCAGUUAGUCAGCAAAAGAGAGCCUGUUUGUGCCAUAACAGAUCUGUGAUUGUUGUACCUCGAAUGAAACACACGUCACUGUCUGCUAAGCUUCACUAAGAGAGCAGGGGGGUCCUAGGCACUUCACAGUUGAUGGUUGUUUGGUGUAAAUUGGCUUCACAUGCUUCUCCAGUUUUAUCCAAAUCUGGGUUUCUUGGAAGUUCUUUUCAUAAUCUGCAUAACAGUAAACAUAAUAUUAGAAAUGAUAUAGUCUAUGGAUGGCUUGAUAAACUCAAAUUUGUUACUAAAUCUUGUCCUCCAUAUUUCCCAACAAACAAUAGGAAGAUCUUAGUAAUGUAGUUGGCAAAAGGAUUAAGGGAUUGGGAUUCCACCAAUUAAGUAAAAUCAUCUUCAAGUUUAAUCUUGGUGACAGGUCAAAGGAAUUAAGAAUUCUGAAGAAUCUUGAAAUGAUUAGCCUGUGCUGCGAGGAAAUAAUAUAUUAUUUCCAUAAAGAAGAAGCUCUCUAAGGUACUCAAUUCUUUGCAGGGAUUGCUCAUAUACCUCGAUGGUCAGAAAUAUAUGGUUGUUGUUCCACUGAAAAGGCGUAGAGGCAAACCGUUAAAAAAGGUUUGUUAUCAUCAUAUUCUUAAGUGCAAUAGAACGCCUCAUUUUACUGUCCUUUGUUUGGUAUGAAAUACAGCUAAUAGAU